CCAGUAUGCAGUACUAGCGAAGCUAAAGUAUGUGUAGGAUGCAAUUCCAACGCUGAUUGUUCUAAUCAACAAAAAGUGUGUAAUGCUGAAAAUGUAUGUGAAGCAUGUCAAAGCACUGAAGUAUAUGACCCAGCUAGGGCAUCGUGUGCAAUAGCGUGCACUACCGAUAAUGAUUGUUCUGGUAUUACUGAUAAACCAGUAUGCCGUACUGGCGAUCUUAAUGUAUGUGUAGGAUGCAAUUCCAACGCUGAUUGUUCUAAUCAACAAAAAGUGUGUAAUGCUGAAAAUGUAUGUGAAGCAUGUCAAAGCACUGAAGUAUAUGACCCAGCUAGGGCAUCGUGUGCAAUAGCGUGCACUACCGAUAAUGAUUGUUCUGGUAUUACUGAUAAACCAGUAUGCCGUACUGGCGAUCUUAAUGUAUGUGUAGGAUGCAAUUCCAACGCUGAUUGUUCUAAUCAACAAAAAGUGUGUAAUGCUGAAAAUGUAUGUGAAGCAUGUCAAAGCACUGAAGUAUAUGACCCAGCUAGGGCAUCGUGUGCAAUAGCGUGCACUACCGAUAAUGAUUGUUCUGGUAUUACUGAUAAACCAGUA
Molecule: long non-coding RNA, 591 nt
Organism: Patella vulgata (common limpet)
Lineage: Eukaryota; Metazoa; Mollusca; Gastropoda; Patellidae
Exons: 10
Source: RefSeq, a predicted model, not a curated record